GGUCAAGAUAGAAAGGGCUGACGGUGGAAACCUUGGCACACAGAGGCGAAGAAGGACGUGGCGACCGACGAAAAGCUCCGGGGAGCGGGAAGCAAGCAAUGAGCCGGAGGUAUCCGAAUGGGGCAACCCAGAAACACAAUGUUGAAUCCAUAGACAUUGAUGAGCGAACCGGGCGAACUGAAACAUCUUAGUAGCCCGAGGAAAAGAAAGCAAAAGCGAUUUCCCGAGUAGUGGUGAGCGAAAGGGAAACAGCCUAAACCAACAGGUAAACCUGUUGGGGUAGUGGGACAGCAGAACUGGACUUAGAGAAUUAGACAAAGCAGAUGAAACCUGCACCAGAGAAGGUGAAAGUCCUGUAGUCGAAAAUUCAAAGAGCCAAGCUGAAUCCCGAGUAGCACGGAGCCCGUGAAAGUCCGUGUGAAUCCGCCUCGACCACGAGGUAAGGCUAAAUACUCCUGUGUGACCGAUAGAGAAACAGUACCGUGAGGGAAAGGUGAAAA
RNAcentral lists this ribosomal RNA (500 nucleotides) under Planktothrix mougeotii LEGE 06226. RNAcentral describes it as "partial 23S ribosomal RNA". It matches the Rfam family "Bacterial large subunit ribosomal RNA", at positions 1 to 520 of the family's 2925-position model. The record is from RNAcentral. Lineage: Bacteria; Bacillati; Cyanobacteriota; Cyanophyceae; Oscillatoriales; Microcoleaceae.